CUAGCCCGAUCCCCUCCACUCUCUCUUGAUCCCCACUCCCUCGUCUCCUCAACCUCAUGCCGCCAGGGGAGAGGCCCGCUGGAUCUCCAUCUCCCUGACUCCCUCCUCCCAUGAAGCCCGCAUUUGCCGCGCCGUCGGACCUUGCUGGCUGGAACCCCCUGCCUCUCCUUGCCCGCGCCUCGUGUGUCGUGAUGUGAGCUGCGCGUCUCAUGGCGGCAACCACCAUGGCCGACUGUUGGGAACGGCAUGGCGCACCGCUAGGAGCAGUGCCCCGCAUGCCCUGUUGACCCCUCGUCUGCACCCUUGUGGAUCCGCUCCGUGCUGCCUGGACCCAGCCGCCCUCGCCUCAAAUUCCCGCGCCGCCGGCCAUGACCAGCGCCUCCACUGCACCGGGCGUGCUCAUCUCCGUCGAGCAAGACGCACCCACGUUGACCCCAGGGGCGCCCGUGUGGGCCCCAUCUCCAGUGAUCACCUCCAAGGCCUAGCCUUGCUUCGCCAGGACCUGCCGCGCCAAGCCCAGCUGGCCGCAACCGUAGCCCAACCGGCUUCUGGCAAUGUCGGCCUAAUCGUCCAAUCGUUUUUUCACUUAUUAUUGGAUUGCGGGCUUAUUCCCAUAAUAGUGAAGGACUUUUUUUUUAUAAAAAUUACAUGACGGCGAACCCGACAAACUCAAUCCGUGCUUUAUUAUUAGGGAAAGAUAUAUGUGACAAAUUUUAUGUACCGCCGUGGUAGUUACCACCACUUAAGUUUUGUAUGUUGUAUGUGGUAUUUAUUAAAUUAAGGAGUAUGUAUGUGUAGUAUGUAGUAUAUAACAAUGUUUAGGUAGUAUAUAUACUACUUUUUAUA
Molecule: long non-coding RNA, 846 nt
Organism: Aegilops tauschii subsp. strangulata
Lineage: Eukaryota; Viridiplantae; Streptophyta; Magnoliopsida; Poales; Poaceae
Source: RefSeq, a predicted model, not a curated record